RNAcentral lists this ribosomal RNA (484 nucleotides) under uncultured bacterium. RNAcentral describes it as "partial 16S ribosomal RNA". It matches the Rfam family "Bacterial small subunit ribosomal RNA", at positions 30 to 507 of the family's 1533-position model. The record is from RNAcentral.
AUUGAACGCUGGCGGCAUGCUUUACACAUGCAAGUCGAGCGGAAGCGCGGCCUUCGGGCUGGCGGCGAGCGGCGAACGGGUGAGUAAUGCAUCGGAACAUGCCCAGUCGUGGGGGAUAACACUUCGAAAGAAGUGCUAAUACCGCAUACGUCCUGAGGGGGAAAGCGGGGGAUCGCAAGACCUCGCGCGAUUGGAGUGGCCGAUGUCAGAUUAGCUAGUUGGUGGGGUAAAGGCCUACCAAGGCGACGAUCUGUAGCUGGUCUGAGAGGAUGAUCAGCCACACUGGAACUGAGACACGGCCCAGACUCCUACGGGAGGCAGCAGUGGGGAAUUUUGGACAAUGGGGGCAACCCUGAUCCAGCCAUUCCGCGUGAGUGAAGAAGGCCUUCGGGUUGUAAAGCUCUUUCGGCAGGAACGAAACGGUGGGCUCUAACAUAGUCCGCUAAUGACGGUACCUGAAGAAGAAGCACCGGCUAACUACGUG